CAGGUUUCAUUUCUUACUGACUCCUAGGGUCCAAGAUUUAGGCAAGGGUAGGAUAUUAAUUUCCAGACCUAAACCUGACGUAAGUUACAGUGCUCUAGUUGUCAUUUAAACUUCAGGUGUGUUUUUCUUCUAUUCCAGGUACUCCAGAGCAGCCUUGUAAUCCCUGAAUCCUACUGAACUCAGACCCUGGUGAUAUAUCAGUGUCAAAGGAAUGCAACUGGUAAUUCUGCCUGUCUGUUAAACUGCCUUGUGUCACCCUGAUUCCAAUGGCUGCUGACAAGUGUUCUUGCUUGAGAUCCUGGAGUGGAGCUAAGGAACGAAAUUUCUUACAUUGUUGAUGCCUCAUUUCCUCAUUAAUGCCACAAAGAUUUAUGUGAAGGGACUUCGACAGUGCUAAUGGAAUUACCCACCUAAAUCUCCCCCACACUGAUGGCAGGGAACGCUGUGGCUCUUUGCCCUCAUGUUAGUGCUGGAUGCAUUAUGAGACCAGUGCUGAUAUGCUGACUGUGUGAGUUUCCUUGAUUUUAAGGAAAUUUUCUGAGCCCCUCUGUCUGCUUGUUCCUGGUUGUGCUGAUGUCGCUGAUGUGAAUAUAAUCUCUACUGAGCAGCUACAGCAUAGAGAGAAAUCCAUUAAAACUCUGAGUGACAGGAUGAUCCUGGAUGAACAGGCUGAAUCAAUGGACCAGCCUGUGCUUUGUGAGUUUCGAUGAUCUUCCCUCAGAUGCUAAAAGGAAACCUGUUUGUGUUUGGACACCCAGAGAAGAUGAUACAAAGAAAGCAAGGUCUCUUGUUGGUAAAGCACCAAAAGUAUCUUCUGGUCUUGAGCAGCAGUCCAGUGUCUCUCAAGUGUUUUCUCCCUGUGUGUCACCCUCCAAGUUUGCACACAGAUGUCCCCAGCACAGCAAAGGAUGGAGGAAGGCAGCCAGAGCUCAGGUGAUACCCAGCCCUGGUGGUGGGGACAGACUGAGGGCUCUGUGUCACCACUAAGCAGCAAGUCAGGCAUGUGCGCUUCUCUGCCACCACCAAAGUCCCUUCAUUCUGGGGUGCCUGACCCCUGCAUGGGUAUGGCCAGGCCUGAAUCUGUUGGUUUUCCUUUCCUGUACUCUUUCCCCAGUAAGUCACUUUGCCAGUUUGCAUCCUUCCCUUGCAGGAAAAAAGAAUGGGAUGGGGGAGGCAGAGAGGAUCAGGAGGAUGUGGCUCUUAGAGACAUUUUGGGAUCUCAUCAGCCAUGGGCACCCACCUCAGUGGAGCCAGGAGAUCCCUGUGGAUGGGCAGCUGCAUUCCACAGCAAUUGCAUCCAUCCCAUCCCUGCAGGGGAUGUGGGUCCCUGUGACCAUGGUCUCAUAUUUCAUUUCCGAAGAACUACAGAGUAUCUUCUGGUGUUAAAUUCUGUCUCGCUGACGUGUUAGUUGAGUCAGAGUUCAAUUCAGCAUCAACCUGAAACACAGCUUGGGACUAUUAGUACAGUUCCUAAUUUGAGCUGUGCUUAUGAGCCUUCAGCUUGAGUUUGUUCUCUCACUGGAGUAAUCGUUUACUUCAGCAUAGUUUUUUUUUUUAAUUCAUACCCCUCCUCUCAGCACACACAGACCUCACAAAGAUUUUCAUGCAUUUAAAUGAAAAAGCCAAACAGUUGCCUUUCCUCGUUCACAUUAUGCAGCAUUGCCCUUCUACUUUGCCCUAUUUCAGAGCUGUCAUGGAAAUAAACCUUACUUUAAAAAAAAAAUCAUUAAAAAGUGUGCAUCCUAUCAGCCUUUUGUCUCCUUCUUGUGCUGUAUCUGCAGGAAGAAAUCCCUUCCUUUUGCCUUCCUCUUUCAGGUGUUUCCAUUUCUUUCCUAACUGUGAUCCAGCAUCUUUAUGGUUCCCCAGUUUCCCAGGAAACAAUCCCUGACUGCCUUUUCCCCAACGUGUAGUAUUCACUGUUCCAUGAAGCUAGUGUUUCCUGAAGGGUUUUACUGUGGGCUUUUCCCCUAAACUACUCCAGAAGUGGGAAUUCUCCUUUUCUGUCCCUAUACUGGGGCAGCCCCUUUCCUUUACCCAGCUGAGUGUAUCUGGAUGAAGCAGUCAUUGUAUUUUCUACCUCCAUCACUGCAGCAUCUGACUGAAUUUAGCAUUAUUUCUUUGAAUCAUGUGAGUGUACUGAUCGGUCAUUCUUCUGCAAGGCAUUCUGCGUGGUCCCCAUGGGAUUGCCAUGCUGGCCACAGAACAGAGAUCCUCUUUGGCAGACACUAAAGAUGGAAAAAGCAAAUCUGGCUCCAGGAUUUGUGGUGUGCAGUCACUGGAGGGAGGGUGUGUCAGCAGAAAGGAUCAUUUGUCCUUGGCACGAGUGCAUGGUACUUGUUAUUUGCUCUCCUGGGCUACAACCCUUAACCCAACUAAGACACAGCUAAAAAAAAACUCCCCAGAAGGAGAAAACCACUGGAAAAUGAGAAAAAACCAAAACAGCCAACCCUAAAAAUUAUCCCAGGAUAUAUGAUGGGGCAGG
Long non-coding RNA from Catharus ustulatus (Swainson's thrush), 2482 nucleotides. RefSeq lists it as uncharacterized. NCBI's taxonomy places the organism in Eukaryota, Metazoa, Chordata, Aves, Passeriformes, Turdidae. The record is from RefSeq and is a predicted model, not a curated record. The transcript is spliced from 5 exons.